GUAAACAAGCGGCGGCCAGGGGCGGGCCGGGGGCGUGGGGCUCUGGGCCCCGCCGGGUCUGCCGCGACUCCGGAUGCGCGGGGUGGCAGUGGCCGGGAGGACGCGGGGCGGCGGGCAGGGCCUCCCAAGCCCGGCUGUCCUCGGCCCGUGCGCGGCGCCCGGAGUCCCACUCCUCCCGAGGCUGUCCCCCGCGCCCGGAGGCCGGGCCAAUGCUCUGGGAGUUCCCGGCUCCGGAGCUGAGCGGCCGCUCGGAAGAACCUCGGGUGCUGGCGCGCCUGAAGUUGCAGACCAGACUUAAAUGUGCGAGACAUGUGCCUUUUUCUUAGGAAAGGCCCCAGGAGCAGAGUGGAGCUGAGAAAGACUCAGCAUGGGUGCUGGGUUCCGGCGCGACAAGCCUGACACCUAGGUCAGCAUCUCAGCCACACAAGGAGGCGGCAGUUCUGUCAGGAAUUACUACAUCUGGUGAUUCCACUUCUCAUAGCUCACCGCUGGGAGAGUAAUUCCUCAGGAUUAACAAGAUCUUUUCCAGAGGAUCCUCACUGCUGAAGCGAUUUUAGAAGACAGUGUGGUCUGUUGACAGUAUGGAAUAUUCUUUACCCAUUAGAUAUGAUCUGUAUGUGAUUGGAAGGAAAUAGAUCAACUGCUAACAACACUUA
Molecule: long non-coding RNA, 656 nt
Organism: Symphalangus syndactylus (siamang)
Lineage: Eukaryota; Metazoa; Chordata; Mammalia; Primates; Hylobatidae
Source: RefSeq, a predicted model, not a curated record